RNAcentral lists this ribosomal RNA (418 nucleotides) under Escherichia coli. RNAcentral's name for it is "bacterial SSU rRNA". It matches the Rfam family "Bacterial small subunit ribosomal RNA", at positions 292 to 702 of the family's 1533-position model. RNAcentral also lists the same sequence under 1 other name. Lineage: Bacteria; Pseudomonadati; Pseudomonadota; Gammaproteobacteria; Enterobacterales; Enterobacteriaceae. The record is from RNAcentral.
CUGAGAGGAUGACCAGCCACACUGGAACUGAGACACGGUCCAGACUCCUACGGGAGGCAGCAGUGGGGAAUAUUGCACAAUGGGCGCAAGCCUGAUGCAGCCAUGCCGCGUGUAUGAAGAAGGCCUUCGGGUUGUAAAGUACUUUCAGCGGGGAGGAAGGGAGUAAAGUUAAUACCUUUGCUCAUUGACGUUACCCGCAGAAGAAGCACCGGCUAACUCCGUGCCAGCAGCCGCGGUAAUACGGAGGGUGCAAGCGUUAAUCGGAAUUACUGGGCGUAAAGCGCACGCAGGCGGUUUGUUAAGUCAGAUGUGAAAUCCCCGGGCUCAACCUGGGAACUGCAUCUGAUACUGGCAAGCUUGAGUCUCGUAGAGGGGGGUAGAAUUCCAGGUGUAGCGGUGAAAUGCGUAGAGAUCUGGA